CGCAGACGACACUUCACAAAGUUCUUGGCUAGGAAGUGAUGUGAGGGUACCAGAGUGGGGGUGACAAAAAGAGGCCACCAAAUUCCCUUAUAAUCAAGACAAUCUCCACCCCCCAGCAAGAUCACCAGUCAACUUGAUCUUGAUCUCAUGAAGACUCUCUUCCCAGCUGGUACUAACUUGUGCCAAGCUCUCAUUUAAAACUGACCAUCAGGGCUGGAGAGAUGGCUCAGAGGCUAAGAGCACUGACUGCUCUUCAGGAGGUCCUGAGUUCAAUUCCCAGCAACCACAUGGUGGCUCACAACCAUCUGUAAUGAGAUCUGGUGCCCUCUCUGGUGUGCAGAUAUACAUGGAAGCAGAAUGUUGUAUACAUAAUAAAUAAAUAAAAUCUUUUUAAAAAAUGAAGAUGUCUAGGCGAUAUUGUGAAAAGUUCUCUAAGAUGUAUUAUUAAGUAAAGCAAUACAGUUUAAAGAAAUAAAUAAAACUGAC
Molecule: long non-coding RNA, 486 nt
Filed under: Cricetulus griseus (Chinese hamster)
Lineage: Eukaryota; Metazoa; Chordata; Mammalia; Rodentia; Cricetidae
Description: lncRNA (ENSCGRG00015031816.1)
Source: RNAcentral